AGCGGCGGGGCGAAGGGCUCCUCAAGCGCGGCCAGAGUGGACGCCGAGGCCGAGGAGGCACGGAGAGCGAGCAAGGGCUGCCUGCACGCUGUCACCUCUCAUUAAGGUUUUGGUAUGAAGAUGAUGCUGGUCUCAUAGAUGAUGAUGCUGGUCUCAUAGAAUGAGAUGGAGAGGAGUCCCUAUUCUUCAAUUUUUUGGAAUAGUUUCAGUAGGAUUUGUACCAGCUAUUCUUUCAAUAUCUACUAGAAUUCGGCUGUGAAUCCAUCUAGUCCUUGGCAUUUUUGUUUGACUCCCCGUGGAACAGAGUUGUUGUUCAGCAGAAAUAAUCAAGAGUUGACAUCAUACCAGACCUCGGGACUCAACAAUAAACCAGACCAGUAUGGCUCUAUCUUCAUGAAGAACAUACACAAUAAUUCAGGACUCACAGAAGUCGAUGAGCAGAACACAGAAGACUCAACCUGAAGAAAUUCCAUAUACGUGCUACUCCUGUAGGCACAAGCAAGAAAAAAUAUUCAAGGAUAAGAGUUUCAUGAGAGUAGAAGUCUUAAUCCAUGAACCUGGAAAAAGAUAUUCACAUCAAGGAUGGCACCCUUCUCCUGGGAGAAACCUCCCUGGGUAAUACUGAUCUCAUAUUGUGAAUUGUUUGAGAUUUGAAGAAUGGAUUAAAGAGAAAAUGAUUGUGCCCGUAGACCAAUGAAGAGACUGUUGCAAUAACUCAGUGCAACUGCCACCAAAAUGUAAAAUUUUCAUAAAAAUCCUUACAGGGAAGACCUGUAAGGUUGAACCCUCCAAUACAAUAGAAAAUGUAAAGGCCAAGAUCUAGCAUGAGGAAGGAAUUCCUCCUGAUCAGCCAAGACCGAUCUUUACUGGUAAGCAACUGGAAGAUGGGGGCACUUUGACUAGGACAUUAAAAAUAAGUCCGCUCUUCAUCUUGUGCUGAGACUUCCUGGUGGUGCCGAGAAAAGGAAGAAGCCUUGUACCACUUCCAAGUAGAAUAAGCAUAAGAGAAAGGUUAGGCUGGCUCUCCUGAAAUAGUAUAAGGUAGAUAAGAAUGGCAAAAUUAAUCACCUUCAAUGCCCUUCAGAUGAAUGCAGUACUGAAGUUUUCAUGGCCAUUCACUUUAAUAGACAUUAUUGUGGCAAAUGUGGCCUGACUUACUGCUUCAGCAAACCAGAAGACAAGUAA
RNAcentral lists this long non-coding RNA (1185 nucleotides) under Homo sapiens (human). RNAcentral's name for it is "PREDICTED lncRNA (TCONS_00078238)". The record is from RNAcentral. Lineage: Eukaryota; Metazoa; Chordata; Mammalia; Primates; Hominidae.